UCCCCCCCCCCCGGGCACCAACGCACUGACGCGUGGGACCACUGCAUAAAGUAACGCGUCCGGUAUGGAAACGACGAAGACCGUGAGCUGCGAAGAUCGCAAGGAUUUUCCCACCGAGCUUUGUUUCAGGGGGCAGGCGGUUUGCUUGGGAGCCACAGGGAAGAAAGGAACUCAUUUAGGUUAUGGCUGCAGGGACACUUGAAAGGUGCAGCGUCCACCGAUCGAUCGAGUCCUGGAAUGACAUUAGAAAUAAGGUGCGCGUCAUCAUAUUUUCUUUCUGAAUACCGUGGCUUUCUGGUCCAAGAUGUUUAUAGGCGAAGUAUGUCGGGAAGUGAUUUCAUUUUUAAGUGCUUGAUGUAGAGGAUUGAAGUGUAAUCUUGAGUGCUAGCUGUUUUCUCAAAAAUCUUGUGUGGUAACUCUAUUUAUUUCUGAAGAAAGAGUGAGGGAGGAACGGUAGUUCUGCGGAAUAGCGUUCGGCCCCAUGGAGAUCAGGGUGUCGAUGGCCUGCUUCACUGUAUAUUAUGCAGGAGAAGAUUUGAUUGUAAAGAGACAAAUACAAAGAUUGGUAUGGAUGAAAAAUAUAUGGAAUCUUGCGUGCUUAUCAAAACUGAAUUGGGCAUGGGAGGUGUCGGCAAAAGUUUGAUUAUGCAACGGAUCUGGAGGAGAAUGAAAUUAUUAUUAUUUUUUAAAUAUAUAUAAAAAUAUACUUGUUCUAGACGACGUUUGGAAUGAAAAUGAAACAUAUUUGAUAAAUUAUUUGAAAAACAGUAAAAGAUCUAAAUGUAUAUAUUUUGGAUGAUAUUUGGGAUGAACGUAUAAGGUAUUUGAUAAUUUAUGAAAGAUUUAUUUAAUGGGAGAGAAAAUAAUAAUUUUUUGUGAUGAAUCUUGACGUAAGAUUAUUAGACGAUGUUUGGAACGAAUAUGUGAAAUAUUUUAAAAGAUCAAUUGAGCAAAGAGUUUUUAAUCAUUUUUCAUUCAUAUGAUUCGAUUGUUGGACGAUGUGUGGAAUGAAGAAACAAUCGAGUAUGCUCUCAGAUUCUCGUUCGGAACAACCAACAAUAUUGUAGAGUAUGAAGCUAUGAUCACAGGCUUGGAGCUUGCAAGGGAGGUCGGAGCCAGACGACUAGCUGCCUAUAGUGACUCGACUCGGAGUUGGUUGUUAACCAGGUUAAGGGAGAGUAUGAAGCCAAAGACCCAGUGAUGGCAAAGUCUAUUAGCUUGGAGUUUUCCAGCUUCGAGCUGUACCGAGUACCGAGAGAAGAAAAUUCAAAGGAGUAUAGUCUACAGGAAAAAUAAGUAAGUUGUAGACUCCUCUGAAAUAUUUUAAAAGAUCAGCUGAGCAAAGGGCUUCUAAUCAUUUUUCAUUUACAUGAUAUGCAUAUAUCAACUGAUAGUUGGAUAAGAUGGAGACUUUAGAACCAUUCUGAUGCAAAAUUUACCAUUGAUCUUUGCCACAAAGCUUGAAUCUGUGGUUCUUCAUUUUACGGCAUUCUCAAGCAGUUGCGACACUUGUAUGUAGCUUCGAUAUUUUUAAGCAUUCUAUGCCACAGAGUACUUGCCAAAAAACAUCAGUAUAUGACCUUCUUCUUGGCUAUGAAGAUGACAUAAGCAGCGAGAAUCAUGUGCUUUCUCGCCUUGUGUGUAGGCCACUUAGUCAUGAUGGAUGUGAUUGAAAUUAUAGGCUUUUUGAUGUAUUAUGCAUCCAUUCAAAUCAUUAGCUGAUUCCAGUUGAAUUUUAAAGCUUCAAAAGUGAGAAGGAACAUAAAGCAUCUGAGUAGCCACAUUGCAUGCACAAAGAGAUUUGAGGAGAAUAGCAGGUAAGUAAGCUUGAAAAAGGAAGCCAAUCAAGACCAAGUAAUCCAUGUCACUCAUGCAUGCAACAAUGGAGGCCAUGCUUGCUCCUUGGCUAGGGGUACCUGAUGGGUUCCUAACACCUUCAGCACUGAUGAUCUGUAAAUAUGCUCCUCAGCAUCAAGGCAUGUGGUUCCAUCCCAUGAAUUGAUUUAAUUUUCAAUUCCCAAUUUUAUAUCUGCUUACAUCAUGAUGCACAAUGGAGAAAGUAUGAGAUGCUGAUCGAGGAUUUGAUGCAAACUAGUAAUUUAAUAAUAUGGUUUAUUAUUUACAUGUCGGCGAUGUUGAGUUAUAGAAGCAUUUGUUGCUGGUUUACUUCAAUCUGGACAUGUGUCAGCUCUUAAUUCCAACUGGACAAAAUUUGGUCAUAUGUAUUGGCUUUCAGCAUUGUGAAAUGGUACCUACUUGUAUGUUAUGGUUACAGGAUCAUAUGUUAGCUAUGAGCUAAUAAAGCCAGGAUCAGUUCAUAGAAGCAUUUUUUCAGUUUAUUAGAGAUAUGCGACGGUGCAGUUUAAA
This is a long non-coding RNA of Elaeis guineensis (African oil palm), 2367 nucleotides long. RefSeq lists it as uncharacterized. Lineage: Eukaryota; Viridiplantae; Streptophyta; Magnoliopsida; Arecales; Arecaceae. The record is from RefSeq and is a predicted model, not a curated record.